GGCCUAUUAGUAUAAUGGUAGUACAUGCGGUUCGGAUCCGCAAAAUUCCGGUUCGAUUCCGGCAUGGGCUC
This 71-nucleotide transfer RNA is filed under the name Pseudomonadota bacterium. RNAcentral describes it as "Proteobacteria bacterium (activated sludge metagenome) tRNA-Pro". It matches the Rfam family "tRNA". From Rfam's summary of the family: Transfer RNA (tRNA) molecules are approximately 80 nucleotides in length. Their secondary structure includes four short double-helical elements and three loops (D, anti-codon, and T loops). Lineage: Bacteria; Pseudomonadati; Pseudomonadota. The record is from RNAcentral.